GUGCUCGCUUCAGCAGCAUAUAUACUAAAAUUGGAACAAUACAGAGGACAUUAGCAUGGCCCCUGCACAAGGAUAACAUGCACAUUCAUGAAGUGUUCCAUAGUUUU
RNAcentral lists this small nuclear RNA (107 nucleotides) under Panthera pardus (leopard). Lineage: Eukaryota; Metazoa; Chordata; Mammalia; Carnivora; Felidae. The record is from RNAcentral.